Molecule: ribosomal RNA, 450 nt
Filed under: uncultured bacterium
Lineage: Bacteria
Description: partial 16S ribosomal RNA
Rfam family: Bacterial small subunit ribosomal RNA
Source: RNAcentral
GUGGGGAAUUUUGGACAAUGGGCGCAAGCCUGAUCCAGCAAUGCCGCGUGCAGGAAGAAGGCCUUCGGGUUGUAAACUGCUUUUGUACGGAACGAAAAGGCUCUGGUUAAUACCUGGGGCUCAUGACGGUACCGUAAGAAUAAGCACCGGCUAACUACGUGCCAGCAGCCGCGGUAAUACGUAGGGUGCAAGCGUUAAUCGGAAUUACUGGGCGUAAAGCGUGCGCAGGCGGUUUUGUAAGACAGGCGUGAAAUCCCCGGGCUCAACCUGGGAAUGGCGCUUGGGACUGCAAGGCUGGAGUGCGGCAGAGGGGGAUGGAAUUCCGCGUGUAGCAGUGAAAUGCGUAGAUAUGCGGAGGAACACCGAUGGCGAAGGCAAUCCCCUGGGCCUGCACUGACGCUCAUGCACGAAAGCGUGGGGAGCAAACAGGAUUAGAAACCCGUGUAGUCC